UACAGAGGGUGCGAGCGUUGUUCGGAAUUAUUGGGCGUAAAGGGCGCGUAGGCGGUGCGGUAAGUCACCUGUGAAAUCUCCUGGCUCAACUGGGAGUCUGCAGGCGAAACUGCCGUGCUGGAGUGUGGGAGAGGUGAGUGGAAUUCCCGGUGUAGCGGUGAAAUGCGUAGAUAUCAGGAGGAACACCGGUGGCGAAAGCGCUCGUCUGGCCCAAUACUGACGCUGAUGCGCGAAAGCUAGGGGAGCAAACGGG
RNAcentral lists this ribosomal RNA (253 nucleotides) under uncultured bacterium. RNAcentral's name for it is "partial 16S ribosomal RNA". It matches the Rfam family "Bacterial small subunit ribosomal RNA", at positions 524 to 776 of the family's 1533-position model. The record is from RNAcentral.